This 413-nucleotide ribosomal RNA is filed under the name uncultured bacterium. RNAcentral describes it as "bacterial SSU rRNA". It matches the Rfam family "Bacterial small subunit ribosomal RNA", at positions 505 to 916 of the family's 1533-position model. The record is from RNAcentral.
GUGCCAGCCGCCGCGGUAAUACGUAGGUGGCGAGCGUUGUCCGGAAUUACUGGGUGUAAAGGGCGUGUAGGCGGGGAUGCAAGUCAGAUGUGAAAUCCCACGGCUCAACUGUGGGGGUGCAUCUGAAACUGUGUUUCUUGAGUGCUGGAGAGGAAAGCGGAAUUCCUAGUGUAGCGGUGAAAUGCGUAGAUAUUAGGAGGAACACCAGUGGCGAAGGCGGCUUUCUGGACAGCAACUGACGCUGAGGCGCGAAAGCGUGGGGAGCAAACAGGAUUAGAUACCCUGGUAGUCCACGCUGUAAACGAUGGAUACUAGGUGUAGGAGGUAUCGACCCCUUCUGUGCCGGAGUUAACACAAUAAGUAUCCCACCUGGGGAGUACGGCCGCAAGGCUGAAACUCAAAUAAAUUGACGG